CCUACGGGUGACAGCAGUGGGUAAUAUUGCACAAUGGGGGAAACCCUGAUGCAGCGACGCCGCGUGAGUGAAGAAGUAUUUCGGUACGUAACGCUCUAUCAGCAGGGAAGAAAAUGGCGGUACCUGACUAAGAAGCCCCGGCUAACUACGUGCCAGCAGCCGCGGUAAUACGUAGGGGGCAAGCGUUAUCCGGAUUUACUGGGUGUCAAGGGAGCGUAGACGGCAGCGCAAGUCUGGAGUGAAAUCCCAUGGCUUAACCAUGGAACUGCUUUGGAAACUGUGCAGCUAGAGUGCAGGAGAGGUAAGCGGAAUUCCUAGUGUAGCGGUGAAAUGCGUAGAUAUUAGGAGGAACACCAGUGGCGAAGGCGGCUUACUGGACUGUAACUGACGUUGAGGCUCGAAAGCGUGGGGAGCAAACAGGAUUAGAUACCCUUGUAGUC
Molecule: ribosomal RNA, 440 nt
Filed under: uncultured bacterium
Lineage: Bacteria
Description: partial 16S ribosomal RNA
Rfam family: Bacterial small subunit ribosomal RNA
Source: RNAcentral